RNAcentral lists this ribosomal RNA (490 nucleotides) under uncultured bacterium. RNAcentral describes it as "partial 16S ribosomal RNA". It matches the Rfam family "Bacterial small subunit ribosomal RNA", at positions 29 to 523 of the family's 1533-position model. The record is from RNAcentral.
AAUGAACGUUGGCGGCAUGGAUUAGGCAUGCAAGUCGAGCGAGAAGAGUUUUGAAGCUUGCUUUAGAACUCGGACAGCGGCGAAAGGGAGAGUAACGCGUAGUUAUGUGCCCUAGGGUCCGGAAUAGCCACGGGAAACUGGGGGUAAUGCCGGAUAAUAUCCCCGGAUCAAAGGUGUGAUUCCGCCCUAGGAGCAGACUGCGUCCUACUAGCUAGUUGGUGGGGUAAUGGCCUACCAAGGCAACGAUGGGUAGCGGGUGUGAGAGCAUGACCCGUCUCACUGGGACUGAGACACUGCCCAGACACCUACGGGUGGCUGCAGUCGAGAAUCUUCGGCAAUGGGCGAAAGCCUGCCCGAGCGAUGCCGCGUGCGGGAUGAAGGCCCUCGGGUUGUAAACCGCUGUCGUAGGGGAGGAAGGUUCCGUGAAGAGCGGAAUUUGACCUAUCCUAGGAGGAAGUACGGGCUAAGUUCGUGCCAGCCGGCGCAGUAA